GUUAUAAGAUCACUCACCUAAAUACCUCCCAGGAUGUCUUCUCUGAUUAAGGAUUUGUGAGAGUUAUUGAGUUUUGAAUUAGAUGCACUUUAAUAAAACAGUAGAACGUUCUUAUCGGAUUGCACCUGUAUUGAUUGCAUUAAAGAGGUCUAUCCUCAGAUCAAGGCUUAAUUACAUCUAUAGUGCAUGACCUUGGCGUCACCCUUUGCAGUUGAGGGUCAUGUUCCAUUUCAGAGGGCUUUGAGUCUGGGGGCUUCAUGGAAGAGUGAUGACAGCUUCUCACUUUCAUACAUUACCCCUUCGUUAUCAGAAAAAUUGUGAGAGCCUGCCUGUCCUGGGAUUGACAUCUGGGCCACUGGAGAGAAGAAUCAGGAAUCAUU
Molecule: non-coding RNA, 380 nt
Organism: Pelodiscus sinensis (Chinese soft-shelled turtle)
Lineage: Eukaryota; Metazoa; Chordata; Testudines; Trionychidae
Source: RefSeq, a predicted model, not a curated record